Molecule: ribosomal RNA, 450 nt
Filed under: uncultured bacterium
Lineage: Bacteria
Description: partial 16S ribosomal RNA
Rfam family: Bacterial small subunit ribosomal RNA
Source: RNAcentral
GUGGGGAAUUUUGGACAAUGGGCGAAAGCCUGAUCCAGCAAUGCCGCGUGCAGGAUGAAGGCCCUCGGGUUGUAAACUGCUUUUGUACGGAACGAAAAGCCUGGGGCUAAUAUCCCCGGGUCAUGACGGUACCGUAAGAAUAAGCACCGGCUAACUACGUGCCAGCAGCCGCGGUAAUACGUAGGGUGCAAGCGUUAAUCGGAAUUACUGGGCGUAAAGCGUGCGCAGGCGGUUUUGUAAGACAGUGGUGAAAACCCCGGGCUCAACCUGGGAACUGCCAUUGUGACUGCAAGGCUAGAGUGCGGCAGAGGGGGAUGGAAUUCCGCGUGUAGCAGUGAAAUGCGUAGAUAUGCGGAGGAACACCGAUGGCGAAGGCAAUCCCCUGGGCCUGCACUGACGCUCAUGCACGAAAGCGUGGGGAGCAAACAGGAUUAGAAACCCCGGUAGUCC